Molecule: ribosomal RNA, 1324 nt
Filed under: human metagenome
Description: bacterial LSU rRNA
Rfam family: Bacterial large subunit ribosomal RNA
Source: RNAcentral
GUCAUAGACGCGAAACCUAGUGAUCUAGGCCUGUCCAGGCUGAAGCUGAGGUAAGACUCAGUGGAGGGCCGAACUCACCGCCGUUGAAAAGUUGGGAGAUGAGGCAGGUUUAGGGGUGAAAAGCCAAUCGAACUAGGAGAUAGCUCGUUCUCUCCGAAAUGCAUUUAGGUGCAGCCUUAGUUGAAGAUAUGCGGGGGUAGAGCACUGUAUGGCCUAGGGGGCGUAUAGCUUACCGAAGUCAAGCAAACUUCGAAUACCGUAUAUUGUUAACUGGGAGUGAGUCUAUGGAUGACAAGGUCCGUGGACGAGAGGGGAACAGCCCAGACCGCCGGCUAAGGUCCCAAAUCAUGUCUAAGUGGGAAAGGAGGUGGAUAUUCACAGACAACCAGGAGGUUGGCUUAGAAGCAGCCAUACCUUAAAAGAGUGCGUAAUAGCUCACUGGUCGAGAGUAUCUGCGCCGAAGAUAUAACGGGGCUAAGACAUGAACCGAAGCCGCGGAAUUAGUUUAUACUAAUUGGUAGGAGAGCGUUCUGUAGGCCGUAGAAGGGGUGUUGUAAGACAUUCUGGAGGUAUCAGAAGUGAGAAUGCAGGAAUGAGUAGCGAGAAGGAGGGCGAGAAUCCCUCCGGCCGGAAGUCCAAGGUUUCCAGGGGAAGGUUUGUCCGCCCUGGGGGAGUCGGGACCUAAGCAUAAGCAGAGCUGCGAAGGCGAAUGGAAAACAGGUUAAUAUUCCUGUACCGCUGUGUACUGUCUGAGAGAUGGAGUGACGCAGGAAGGUAUGCGGGAAGGCUGACGGAAUAGCCUUUCUAAGGGUGAAGCGUGGACAUGCAGGCAAAUCCGCAUGUUUAUACGUGAGGCCUGAUGGGGAAGUGCCAUAUGGCAUAAGCCGCAGAUCCUACACUGCCGGGAAAAACUUCUAUUGAGGGAAACAGCGCCCGUACUGUAAACCGACACAGGUGGACAGAGUGAGAAACUUAAGGCCGACAGGAUAACUCUAGCUAAGGAACUCUGCAAAAUAGCCCCGUAACUUCGGGAGAAGGGGUGCCUGAUAUACUUGAGAGGAGAAACACCUCAAGGGGAAACAGGCCGCAGUGAAGAGUCCCAAGCAACUGUUUACCAAAAACACAGGUCUAUGCUAAGCUGAAAGGCGACGUAUAUGGGCUGACACCUGCCCAGUGCCGGAAGGUUAAGAGGAGGAUUGAGAGAUUCGAAUUGAAGCCCCGGUGAACGGCGGCCGUAACUAUAACGGUCCUAAGGUAGCGAAAUUCCUUGUCGGGUAAGUUCCGACCUGCACGAAUGGUGAAAUGAUUUGGGAGCUGUCUUGGC